Molecule: non-coding RNA, 107 nt
Organism: Gossypium arboreum
Lineage: Eukaryota; Viridiplantae; Streptophyta; Magnoliopsida; Malvales; Malvaceae
Source: Rfam
AUCCCAUGAUAAGGACACAUACGAAGUAAUUCUUUGAAUAUUUCCCACGCCUUGUAUAAAGACUCAUAAUCCAAUUGUUUGAAAGUAGUUAUCUCAUUUCGAAACUU